Molecule: ribosomal RNA, 347 nt
Filed under: uncultured soil bacterium
Lineage: Bacteria
Description: bacterial SSU rRNA
Rfam family: Bacterial small subunit ribosomal RNA
Source: RNAcentral
GGGAUGAACGCUGGCGGCGUGCUUAACACAUGCAAGUCACGGGGGCCCGAGGCGCAAGCCUGGGGCAACCGGCGAACGGGUGCGUAACACGUGAGCAACCUACCGAAUUGUGGGGGAUAGCCGGCCCAACGGCCGGGUAAUACCGCAUACGCUCGAGACGAGGCAUUUCGACUCGAGGAAACCUCCGGGGCAAUUUGAGGGGCUCGCGGCCUAUCAGCUAGUUGGUGAGGUAACGGCUCACCAAGGCAACGACGGGUAGCUGGUCUGAGAGGAUGGCCGGCCACAUUGGGACUGAGAUACGGCCCAGACUCCUACGGGAGGCAGCAGUGGGGAAUCUUGCGCAAUGG